AGAGUUUGAUCAUGGCUCAGGAUGAACGCUAGCUACAGGCUUAACACAUGCAAGUCGAGGGGAAACGAUAUUGGAAGCUUGCUUCCGAUAGGCGUCGACCGGCGCACGGGUGAGUAACGCGUAUCCAACCUGCCCACCACUUGGGGAUAACCUUGCGAAAGUAAGACUAAUACCCAAUGACGUCUCUAGAAGACAUCUGAAGGAGAUUAAAGAUUUAUCGGUGAUGGAUGGGGAUGCGUCUGAUUAGCUUGUUGGCGGGGUAACGGCCCACCAAGGCAACGAUCAGUAGGGGUUCUGAGAGGAAGGUCCCCCACAUUGGAACUGAGACACGGUCCAAACUCCUACGGGAGGCAGCAGUGAGGAAUAUUAGUCAAUGGGCGAGAGCCUGAACCAGCCAAGUAGCGUGCAGGAAGACGGCCCUAUGGGUUGUAAACUGCUUUUAUAAGGGAAUAAAGUUAGUCUCGUGAGACUUUUUGCAUGUACCUUAUGAAUAAGGACCGGCUAAUUCCGUGCCAGCAGCCGCGGUAAUACGGAAGGUCCGGGCGUUAUCCGGAUUUAUUGGGUUUAAAGGGAGCGUAGGCCGGAGAUUAAGCGUGUUGUGAAAUGUAGACGCUCAACGUCUGCACUGCAGCGCGAACUGGUUUCCUUGAGUACGCACAAAGUGGGCGGAAUUCGUGGUGUAGCGGUGAAAUGCUUAGAUAUCACGAAGAACUCCGAUUGCGAAGGCAGCUCACUGGAGCGCAACUGACGCUGAAGCUCGAAAGUGCGGGUAUCGAACAGGAUUAGAUACCCUGGUAGUCCGCACGGUAAACGAUGGAUGCCCGCUGUUGGUCUGAAUAGGUCAGCGGCCAAGCGAAAGCAUUAAGCAUCCCACCUGGGGAGUACGCCGGCAACGGUGAAACUCAAAGGAAUUGACGGGGGCCCGCACAAGCGGAGGAACAUGUGGUUUAAUUCGAAGCAACGCGAAGAACCUUACCAGGGCUUGAAAUCAUGGUGAAGCGGCGGAAACGCCGUGGCCGAGAGGAGCCAUGACAGGUGGUGCAUGGCUGUCGUCAGCUCGUGUCGUGAGAUGUUGGGUUAAGUCCCGCAACGAGCGCAACCCCUGUAGCGUGUUGCCAGCAUUCAGUUGGGGACUCGCGCGAGACUGCCGGCGUCAAGCCGGAGGAAGGUGGGGACGACGUCAAGUCAUCAUGCCCCUUAUGCCCUGGGCUGCACACGUGCUACAAUGGCCGGUACAACGGGCUGCGACGCCGCGAGGCGGAGCGAAUCCCUCAAAGCCGGCCCCAGUUCGGAUCGCAGGCUGCAAUUCGCCUGCGUGAAGCCGGAGUUGUUAGUAAUCGCGGAUCAGCACGCCGCGGUGAAUACGUUCCCGGGCCUUGUACACACCGCCCGUCACACCACUCGAGUCGUCUGCACCCGAAGUCGCCGGCCCAACCCGCAAGGGGAGGAGGCGCCGAAGGUGUGGAGGGUAAGAGGGGUGAAGUCGUAACAAGGUA
RNAcentral lists this ribosomal RNA (1496 nucleotides) under metagenome. Its description in RNAcentral is "bacterial SSU rRNA". It matches the Rfam family "Bacterial small subunit ribosomal RNA". The record is from RNAcentral.